GCCCCUCGUGCCCUGGCUCCUGCUGUGCUCACAUCAUGCUCAGGCAGCAUCACUGGCUCAGCACCAUCAUCCCACGGUUAUCUGGGGGCCCUGCAGAGGAGAAGCAAGUGGACAAAUCCUGGUUGCAGACACUGCUGAUGCAGAAAAGCAAUAAGGAAGAUGCAGCUGAGGUGAAUUGCCCUCUCAACACAGAAGAAGCAGCAACACUAAACCUAACAGCAAAAGCAAGCGAGCUGCUGGUUCUAUAGGAAUCCUGCAUCUCCAUGAACAGAUGGAACUGACAUUUCAAGAUAUCAUUCAAACAGGUAAACAUAUCAGAAACAUUAUCUGGGUCGCAUUUAGGCAACAGGGUUUGCUCUGUUUUAAGUGCAAAUGCUCUGCUGAUGAUUUAGAUGAACUUCCUGAGGAGUGUUUGAAAUUCCUGGCACACAUUCGAUUUGCCAUCUGCUAGAAGGACUUUGGUGAACUCGCAGAGACAUCACACUGGAGGUGCUCUUCAU
Long non-coding RNA from Pogoniulus pusillus (Red-fronted tinkerbird), 500 nucleotides. RefSeq lists it as uncharacterized. The record is from RefSeq and is a predicted model, not a curated record. The transcript has 3 exons. NCBI's taxonomy places the organism in Eukaryota, Metazoa, Chordata, Aves, Piciformes, Lybiidae.